CCCUCUGGGCGACCGAGCAGUCAGUGAACGGCUCGACCUUUUUGAUCGAAGCGAACGGCUCGGGCGAUUUGGCGGACACGGCUUGGGCCGGGGCGGCGGGCGCGCCCGGCUGGGCCUGGGCGAAGAGCGAUGGGCCGGUCAAGGCCAGAACCACGGCCGCCAAUGUCAAACAGAGGAUCAAACGUCUCGAUUUCAUGGGGUGUCUCCCUCCUUCUGUGAGGCCGAAUGAACUGAUUAUACCAUUUCCCCCGCUCGUAUGAUGCCGACUGGCCUUGCAGCCGCAUCGCUCUGUGUGAGAAAAUAGCCCGGAGUGGGGAAGACCGGAAUGCACCCAGGGGUUGAGAAUAUGAAACGAUCGGGUCCGAUGGCAUUGAGCGGGGGGGC
Molecule: ribosomal RNA, 384 nt
Filed under: uncultured prokaryote
Description: partial 16S ribosomal RNA
Source: RNAcentral